AACGAAGCUUUCUUUCACCGAAUGCUUGCAUUCACCGAAAGAAGCUUAGUGGCGAACGGGUGAGUAACACGUAGGCAACCUGCCCAAAAGAGGGGGAUAACACUUGGAAACAGGUGCUAAUACCGCAUAACCAUGAACACCGCAUGAUGUUCAUGUAAAAGACGGCUUUUGCUGUCACUUUUGGAUGGGCCUGCGGCGUAUUAACUUGUUGGUGGGGUAACGGCCUACCAAGGUGAUGAUACGUAGCCGAACUGAGAGGUUGAUCGGCCACAUUGGGACUGAGACACGGCCCAAACUCCUACGGGAGGCAGCAGUAGGGAAUCUUCCACAAUGGACGAAAGUCUGAUGGAGCAACGCCGCGUGAAUGAAGAAGGCCUUCGGGUCGUAAAAUUCUGUUGUCAGAGAAGAACGUGCGUGAGA
RNAcentral lists this ribosomal RNA (420 nucleotides) under Ligilactobacillus ruminis. Its description in RNAcentral is "bacterial SSU rRNA". It matches the Rfam family "Bacterial small subunit ribosomal RNA", at positions 65 to 460 of the family's 1533-position model. Lineage: Bacteria; Bacillati; Bacillota; Bacilli; Lactobacillales; Lactobacillaceae. The record is from RNAcentral.